GUAUAGCAAUAGCUAAUUGCACCAACAAAUAGUUGAUGCAAUAUCGACUCUGUCGAAUAAAAUUCUAGGUAGAAUUAUGAUAAUGACAUUGUCUGCCUAUGUGUCUUGACCAAAUUACGUGCCAGCAGUCGCGGUAAUACGUAGAAGACUAGUGUUAUUCAUCUUUAAUAGGUUUAAAGGGUACCUAGACGGUAAAUCAAGCCUUCAAGGGGACUAAUUUACUAGAGUUACUUGUGAGGGGGUAUUAAAGUACUAAUGGUGUAGAGAUGAAAUUCUGUCAUACCUAUUUUCGGAAGAAAAAUUAUGGCACAGGUAUAGGCGAAAGCAUCCCCUUAUGUGAUAACUGACGUUGAAGGACGAAGGCUUUGUGUCGCGAACAGGAUUAGAUACCCCAGUAGUCAAAGCAGAAAAUGAUGAAUGUCAUAGAUUAGACAUAUAGUUUAUUCUAUAAAUGAAAGUGUAAGCAUUCCACCUCAAGAGUAAUUUGGCAACAUUGGAACUGAAAUCAUUAGACCGUUUCUGAAACCAGUAGUGAAGUAUGUUGUUUAAUUUGAUAAUCCGCAAAAAACCUUACCACAAUUUGAAUAUUUAUAUCUUUUAUCCUUCAUUUCCAUCUUUUCGUGGAAAAGAUGAUAAAAUAUAUAUUUACAAGCGUUGCCCCGGCUGUCUUCAGUUAAUGUCGUGAGACUUUGGUUAGUUCCAUUAAAUUAACGUAAACCCUUACUUUAUUUUUAUAUAAAGUAGUUCCCCACUAGAUUGGAUAAGAUAACAGGGACUAAGACAAGUCAUCAUGGCCUGAAUAUUGU
Molecule: ribosomal RNA, 806 nt
Filed under: Lecanora intumescens
Lineage: Eukaryota; Fungi; Ascomycota; Lecanoromycetes; Lecanorales; Lecanoraceae
Description: SSU rRNA
Rfam family: Bacterial small subunit ribosomal RNA
Source: RNAcentral